AUUGAUUGAUGGUGCUUGCACCUGAUUGAUUUUGGUCGCCAACGAGUGGCGGACGGGUGAGUAACACGUAGGUAACCUGCCCAGAAGCGGGGGACAACAUUUGGAAACAGAUGCUAAUACCGCAUAACAACGUUGUUCGCAUGAACAACGCUUAAAAGAUGGCUUCUCGCUAUCACUUCUGGAUGGACCUGCGGUGCAUUAGCUUGUUGGUGGGGUAACGGCCUACCAAGGCGAUGAUGCAUAGCCGAGUUGAGAGACUGAUCGGCCACAAUGGGACUGAAACACGGCCCAUACUCCUACGGGAGGCAGCAGUAGGGAAUCUUCCACAAUGGGCGCAAGCCUGAUGGAGCAACACCGCGUGAGUGAAGAAGGGUUUCGGCUCGUAAAGCUCUGUUGUUAAAGAAGAACACGUAUGAGAGUAACUGUUCAUACGUUGACGGUAUUUAACCAGAAAGUCACGGCUAACUACGUGCCAGCAGCCGCGGUAAUACGUAGGUGGCAAGCGUUAUCCGGAUUUAUUGGGCGUAAAGAGAGUGCAGGCGGUUUUCUAAGUCUGAUGUGAAAGCCUUCGGCUUAACCGGAGAAGUGCAUCGGAAACUGGAUAACUUGAGUGCAGAAGAGGGUAGUGGAACUCCAUGUGUAGCGGUGGAAUGCGUAGAUAUAUGGAAGAACACCAGUGGCGAAGGCGGCUACCUGGUCUGCAACUGACGCUGAGACUCGAAAGCAUGGGUAGCGAACAGGAUUAGAUACCCUGGUAGUCCAUGCCGUAAACGAUGAGUGCUAGGUGUUGGAGGGUUUCCGCCCUUCAGUGCCGGAGCUAACGCAUUAAGCACUCCGCCUGGGGAGUACGACCGCAAGGGUUGAAACUCAAAGGAAUUGACGGGGGCCCGCACAAGCGGUGGAGCAUGUGGUUUAAUUCGAAGCUACGCGAAGAACC
Molecule: ribosomal RNA, 937 nt
Filed under: Limosilactobacillus fermentum
Lineage: Bacteria; Bacillati; Bacillota; Bacilli; Lactobacillales; Lactobacillaceae
Description: bacterial SSU rRNA
Rfam family: Bacterial small subunit ribosomal RNA
Source: RNAcentral